AACGAACGCUGGCGGCAGGCUUAACACAUGCAAGUCGAACGCGCCGCAAGGUGAGUGGCGCACGGGUGAGUAACGCGUGGGAAUGUACCGUUUAGUACGGAAUAGCUCCGGGAAACUGGAAUUAAUACCGUAUACGCCCUUCGGGGGAAAGAUUUAUCGCUAAACGAUCAGCCCGCGUGAGAUUAGGUAGUUGGUGGGGUAAUGGCCUACCAAGCCUACGAUCUCUAGCUGGUCUGAGAGGAUGAUCAGCCACACUGGAACUGAGACACGGUCCAGACUCCUACGGGAGGCAGCAGUGGGGAAUAUUGGACAAUGGGGGCAACCCUGAUCCAGCCAUGCCGCGUGAAUGAUGAAGGCCUUAGGGUUGUAAAGUUCUUUUACCGAUGAAGAUAAUGACGGUAGUCGGAGAAAAAGCCCCGGCUAACUUCGUGCCAGCAGCCGCGGUAA
RNAcentral lists this ribosomal RNA (447 nucleotides) under uncultured bacterium. RNAcentral describes it as "partial 16S ribosomal RNA". It matches the Rfam family "Bacterial small subunit ribosomal RNA", at positions 29 to 523 of the family's 1533-position model. The record is from RNAcentral.